RNAcentral lists this ribosomal RNA (903 nucleotides) under uncultured bacterium. RNAcentral describes it as "bacterial SSU rRNA". It matches the Rfam family "Bacterial small subunit ribosomal RNA", at positions 33 to 954 of the family's 1533-position model. The record is from RNAcentral.
ACGCUGACAGAAUGCUUAACACAUGCAAGUCUUUGGCGAAGCUGUGCUUGCACAGCCUAGCCAAGGCGGACGGGUGAGUAACGCGUAAGGAACUUGCCCUGCAGUCAGGGAUAACAGACGGAAACGACUGAUAAGACCUGAUAAAGUCAGGCGGACUCAUGUCCAGCCUGAUGAAAAGAGAUGCUGCAGGAGAGCCUUGCGUCCUAUUAGCUUGUUGGUGGGGUAACGGCCCACCAAGGCGAUGAUAGGUAGCCGGCCUGAGAGGGUGGACGGCCACAAGGGGACUGAGAUACGGCCCUUACUCCUACGGGAGGCAGCAGUGGGGAAUAUUGGACAAUGGGGGCAACCCUGAUCCAGCAAUUCUGUGUGCACGAUGAAGGUUUUCGGAUUGUAAAGUGCUUUCAGCAGGGAAGAAAAAAAUGACGGUGUCUGCAGAAGAAGCGACGGCUAAAUACGUGCCAGCAGCCGCGGUAAUACGUAUGUCGCAAGCGUUAUCCGGAAUUAUUGGGCAUAAAGGGCAUCUAGGCGGCCAGAUAAGUCUGGGGUGAAAACUUGCGGCUCAACCGCAAGCCUGCCCUGGAAACUAUGUGGCUAGAGUACUGGAGAGGUGGACGGAACUGCACGAGUAGAGGUGAAAUUCGUAGAUAUGUGCAGGAAUGCCGAUGAUGAAGAUAGUUCACUGGACGGUAACUGACGCUGAAGUGCGAAAGCUAGGGGAGCAAACAGGAUUAGAUACCCUGGUAGUCCUAGCUGUAAACGAUGAUUACUGGGUGUGGGCAUGAAGAGUGUCCGUGCCGAAGCUAAUGCGGUAAGUAAUCCGCCUGGGGAGUACGGCCGCAAGGCUGAAACUCAAAGGAAUUGACGGGGACCCGCACAAGCGGUGGAGCAUGUGGUUUAAUUCGA